This 478-nucleotide ribosomal RNA is filed under the name uncultured bacterium. RNAcentral's name for it is "partial 16S ribosomal RNA". It matches the Rfam family "Bacterial small subunit ribosomal RNA", at positions 28 to 507 of the family's 1533-position model. The record is from RNAcentral.
GAUGAACGCUGGCGGCGUGCCUAACACAUGCAAGUCGAACGGAGUCCAGCCUUUAAGACCUUCGGGUCAAAGAGGGGAAGACUGAGUGGCGGACGGGUGAGUAACACGUGGGCAACCUGGCUCAUAGAGGGGGAUAACAGAGAGAAAUUUCUGCUAAUACCGCAUAAGCACACACUGCCGCAUGGCAGAGGGUGAAAAGAGAAUCGCUAUGAGAUGGACCCGCGUCUGAUUAGCCAGUUGGCAGGGUAAGAGCCUACCAAAGCGACGAUCAGUAGCCGAUCUGAGAGGAUGAACGGCCACAUUGGGACUGAGACACGGCCCAAACUCCUACGGGAGGCAGCAGUGGGGGAUAUUGCACAAUGGGGGGAACCCUGAUGCAGCGACGCCGCGUGAGUGAAGAAGUAUUUCGGUAUGUAAAGCUCUAUCGGCAGGGAAGAUAAUGACAGUACCUGAAUAAGAAGCCCCGGCUAACUACGUG